This is a long non-coding RNA of Lytechinus pictus (painted urchin), 3639 nucleotides long. RefSeq lists it as uncharacterized. Lineage: Eukaryota; Metazoa; Echinodermata; Echinoidea; Temnopleuroida; Toxopneustidae. The transcript is spliced from 2 exons. The record is from RefSeq and is a predicted model, not a curated record.
CGCGUAAGAAAGGAUCACCAGUCGUUCUUAAAGUCGCUCUUAACUUACGAACAGCUUUAUGAAACGGCCCCCAGUAUUUAUACCACUACUAGGUUGCUGAAAAAUAGUUCAAAAUAACAUCUUUUUUUAGAUUUUCUUAAAGAUAAAAAAAAUCAACAUGAUACCAUACUUCAUAUUUAUGUUCCAUCGUUCUAUCUAACAAUACUGGAAUACUAUUGCACAGUCCCCACUGCAUUUGACCUCCUUGGCAGUCAAUUUCCCUUUUAGAAGUUGAUUUGUUUGAAUAUUGUCUUCACCUAAGGUGUCAAGCCAAACCAGAACAUCACAGUGGCCGUCAGUCCUAUCGAGAGAACCAUCAAUCAUAAAGAGAUUCCAGGAGUUAUCAUUAAGUUUGCUAGUUCAUCUGUCAGUCAGAUCUAUUCCAAGGCAGAGGACAUAUUAAGCCCUGUCUUCCCUAUGCUUGGUGGGAAUCCAUUCCAGGAUAAGCAUUGAUUCAUCUUCUAACCAUCCACUCAUCAUCUGGUAUACAGUCAUCAUGGCUUAAGCACUACUGUUCUUUAAUCAUUCUAUCAUUAACACUAACGUACCUUUUAGGGGUUUUUUUUGCGAUAAAUCCGCCGGUUAAAUACUUUUACCAUACUUUCCCUGACUCUUUACUUUCAAGUCUUGUGCAACUUUUGAGACCAAAUUUGUGACAGCUUGUUGGUACGCGAUAUAGAAAUAUUGUAAUUUUAUGGUUAUUACAGACCUCAAAUUGCCAAAGAGCAUGAUUUCAUGUAGCAAAUUUCUAGACAUCUAGACUUAUCUCUUUUCAUUGUUGUAGUGCAAUGUAGUUCAAUUGAAUAUUACAAUAUAAAGUAGGAUGUAAUGUAUAUUUAAUGUAGCUUUAUUUGAGUAUAAUGUAAAAUAAUAUUGUUAUAUAAUGAAACUCAAAUUAAUAAUUGCUCAAAAAUAUGUAAGAAAUAAUUCAUUUGUAAAGCGUAUACAUGUAGAGAUCACAAAUAUGCGCUAAUAAGUACCACAUGCUUAUUAUCACUAUGUACAAAGUCAAUACAAAAUGUUUUUUUUCAGCUAAAAUUCAUACAUGAGAGUCAUUAUUUUUACUUUCAUUGACAGCAGUCAAAAUGAGCAAUAUUUUUACGCAGGCUAGCUUCAAUAAUCUUUACUAAGCACAUAAUGAAGAGAUUGGUUUAAUCACAGAGAGGCUAUAUCCCCUCACAUCAAUUGGUUUCAGAAUCCAAAGUCACAAAAUUACAAAAGAAAGACCAAUGAAAAUGAGAUGGAAUUAAACAAACUUUCAAGUUUAUGAAUGUAUGUCCUUCUUAAAAAUGUUUUAGUAAUUUGCUCAAUCACAAAACUCUACAGGAAAUUAUCAUCAACAUUUAAAUUACUGGAAUAGUCACACAGCCACCCACAUCCCCCCUGCGGAUGUCCUGGCAAGCAGAGAUAAUCUGAACAUAAUGUGUGUCUGUGUGUACCUCUUUCAGCCUCACACAAACACUGUGUUCAGAUUAUCCCCUGCUAACCGGGACAUCCCUGGGGAUCUGUGUGUGGUUGUGUGAUUGGCGCAGUUAUUUCAAAUUUUUAUUUUAAAUUUUGUUGGUUUCUUUGGGAUUAUAUGGAAGUCAAUCACUUAAACAUGCCUGUGAACAAUAUGGGUAGUAAAUUGGCAAGUUUGUUUAAUCUCAUCUCAUUUUGAUUGGUCUUUCUUUUGUAAUUUAGUGACUUUGGAUUCUGAAAUCAAUUAGUCACGUGAGGGGCUAUAGCCUUUCUGUGAUUGAGCCAAUUGUGUAUCGCCCUUGUAAAGUUUGAUCAGUUCCUUUUGGAACCCAGUUUACAUGUUGAUACGAAAUGGAAGUGAUACCUGGUUUUUCAUUAAUAUACAAUUGUGAGGGUGAUCGGUUCAUCACGGACGGACAUUUGAUAGAUUUUGAAAACUUUGAAGGCUUGUAACAAAUUAGGAAUAAGAUGAACAUGGUUCCUUUUUGUUUUAUAGUGAAGGGUAGGACAAAGUAUGCUGAAUGAUGAAAAAAGUUUGUUGCCAUGGUUACCUACAAACAUAGGUAUCCACUAAAUGUGCCAUAUCACGGACGGACAUGAUAGAAAUGUGGUUUUCAGAAUUUUCGUACAUUUUUAUUGUUUCUAUCUAAAUAGCUUAACAUUUACCAAUAAUUGUUAAUGCAACUAAUACUCAGGUAUAUUAGCUUCUAUGUUCAGCAUAUUGAAUUCUUAACCAAUAUCAAAUUUCUGAGAGAAUUGCAAACAUUUUCCAUCACGGACGGACAUCUCGGACGGACGUCACGGACGGACACAAUAAAAAUACAUUGAAAGUACCUUUUAAGAAGUUCUUAUUACUUUUUGGGGGAACAAAUGCUAUUGUAUUGAUGAUUUAUACAUUUUUAAAUAUGAUUAAACAGUAUUAAUUGCACAAUCAAGUUGCUGCAACUUUAAUCAAGUUGCUACAACUUGAUUUAAGUUGUAGCAACUUGAUCUCUAUGCUACAUGUAGACGCACAGUAUAAUCUGCAAAUAUGAUUGCUUUAAACACAUUUCUUGUCAAAAUCGUAAAGAAUGUCCUAAUGCACAUUGUCUUCUUUUAAAUAUUAUAGAAUACUGGUAGGUACCAAAUCAACAUCUAGUUGAUCAAUGAUCAUGUCGAAUCUUGAUACAAGUGAUAUAAUGAUGAUACAUGUUAAUACAUUUUAAGGCAUUACUUUUCCAAGACCAAAGAUGUUUUUAGGUCCAUUAUUAACUAAAUCCAAAAGAUUCACAAGUUGCUGAUCCUUAUGCUUGUUUGGUGGAUCAAGUAUGACCACAACACUUGUCAGAGGCUUUCUUCUAAUUCAUCUUUUGCCCAUAUUAAAGGGGAAACAUCCCAUAACAUCAACAGCCCUCAUGUAUUUAGGCCCUGACAGAAUCCAAAAUUGAAAUUGAUAAAUCAUAUACCAAUCAAAAGCUUAUUAAACUUCUAAACAAUGUAGUGCAAGCUUUAUAAAUAGUAUGCAUUUUCACAAUUACCAGACAAGCAAUUUUCUUCAAUAAAAUUAGCUCCAAAAUGGACUUUAAAAAUAUGUAUUCUUGUACUUUUCACAAGCCAAAAGACUGGGAUGGUGUCAUGUUCUGUUUUAAUAGAAGCAUUGUGAAUCCAUAGGUUUAUACAUGGAAAAAAAUGAUGAUUUUUCUGCUUAUCAGAUUAUGCAUUCUACAGUUUUGGACUUGUUCUUGCCAUACCUUAUUUCCUGCUUUUUUGGCAUACAUGUAGCUUUCCAAUUCUAUCUGCAAUUCUGCAUUCCAAUUAUGUUUAACAAUUUUUCCUGACAGUUUAGCCCCAAUAACAGCCAAACAAAGAAAUCACAAAAAAUUGUGAAGAGUUGUAGGUUUCCAUCCAUUUGAAUUCUGAAUAAUUCUCAGUGCCAUUUUUCACUGCAAAUUGAAACUAAAAUUAAAUUUGUAAUCUGCUCAGCAAAGUUUCUCAUUUGCAUGUAUGGAUCUUUCCAUAGUAUUAGCUUAUAUUGCUCACUUGUCCGUCCAUAAUGAAAUUAAUGUCCGUCCGUGAUCAUUUUUUUUAUUGAUUUAUGAUAUGCAUAAAAUGUAUGGAUUUUAGCUACGUUCAAAUAAAAUGAUGUACAGUGUCUAGUGA